CACGUAGGGCGCAAGCGUUGUCCGGAAUCAUUGGGCGUAAAGCGCGCGUAGGCGGCCUCAUAAGUCCGUUGUGAAAGUCAAAGGCUCAACCUUUGAAAGCCGAUGGAUACUGUGAGGCUAGAGUCCGGAAGAGGCGAGUGGAAUUCCUGGUGUAGCGGUGGAAUGCGCAGAUAUCAGGAGGAACACCAAUAGCGAAGGCAGCUCGCUGGGACGGUACUGACGCUAAGGCGCGAAAGCGUGGGGAGCGAACAGG
Molecule: ribosomal RNA, 253 nt
Filed under: uncultured bacterium
Lineage: Bacteria
Description: partial 16S ribosomal RNA
Rfam family: Bacterial small subunit ribosomal RNA
Source: RNAcentral